Long non-coding RNA from Poecilia latipinna (sailfin molly), 1119 nucleotides. RefSeq lists it as uncharacterized. The transcript is spliced from 2 exons. Lineage: Eukaryota; Metazoa; Chordata; Actinopteri; Cyprinodontiformes; Poeciliidae. The record is from RefSeq and is a predicted model, not a curated record.
CUCUUCUCUGUUUCCAUAGCAACAUGGCAUGUUUUCCUGCAUGAGGUUAAAGGUCAGAGGGAACCUAGAGGAGCAGACGGUCUGAUCUGCCACACUAACAUCUGGUGUGUACCGACACUUUAACUGGGUCAAAAGGUUCCUUCUCCGGAAAGUUUUUAAAAAAACCUGAAGAAGAAUCCAGUUAGAGAUCCAGAAAAACCAGAACAGAGCCGUUCGCUUCAGAGGAAACCUGAGGAAAGAAGGUUAGGGUUGUAGAGGAGCUGCUGCUGGACAGGAAACUGCAGAAGAAGAAAUUCUUCUAAAUCAGCCCAACAGCUGCGAGGACACAGAGAGGAAGAAACUGGAACUGCAACUCUUCAUUUUAGUCUUUGGCAAACAGAACAUUUUAGAUUCUGAAAAUCUAAUUCACCAAAAAGUCUCAACUUUUCCAGUUUUGAGGUAAAUCUAAGACAAUGAUCAGUUGUCUCAAUGCAGGUUGCAUCAGCCCAGAUACGUAAUCUAAUAAUAUCUACUGUGUUGUAUUUAUAAGCUACACCGAACAAAAAUAUAAAGCCCCGUGUCAAAUGCAAUAUAUAGAGAAACUCAAACUGUAUUUUCAGUAAUUACUGAUCUUCAUAUCGGCAUUGAUAUCAUCGUGGUUCGGCCGUUUGUAGCAGAUUAACAGUCAUGAUCGGGGUCAGGAUGAGGAGUCUGAUUCUGACCCAGUCGGCUUCCCGUAGCGGUCACAGACAGUCUGAUGCGUCUGUUGUUCAGACCGAUCAGCUGUGUGUCGCUGGUCUGAGCCGAUCCUCCGAUGGACGAUCUGGAGGCGGUCAGACGAGGAUGAGGAGGAGCUGCAGUCUGUUGGAAACCAGCUCUGAAACGGCCGGCGGUCCGAUACCGGAGCUGCUGCUCUGCUGGACGUCCUGCAUCCAACACGCCAACGGCUCCACAGAACAUCUGAGGCUUUAUGACUGGAGACAUCAUGUGACGUGUUGGGGCCUUUUAUUGUCCAGUUGUUUUCAUCUACCCAGUGGACAUGUCCCACAAUGCACUGAGUAAAUAACUGAGUGAUGCUCACUGACAGCAAACUGGACUAAACAUUAUACACAAACCAAGAGAAAUAUUAGUUUUGAACAA